UACGUAGGCAGCGAGCGUUGUUCGGACUUACUGGGCGUAAAGAGUGUGUAGGCGGUGCUCCCAGUCUGUUGUGAAAUCUCCCGGCUUAACUGGGAGGGUGCAGCGGAAACUAGAGUGCUAGAGGGUGGGAGAGGUAAGCGGAAUUCCUGGUGUAGCGGUGAAAUGCGUAGAUAUCAGGAGGAACACCUGUGGUGUAGACAGCUUACUGGACCACUUCUGACGCUGAGACACGAAAGCGUGGGUAGCAAACAGG
RNAcentral lists this ribosomal RNA (253 nucleotides) under uncultured bacterium. RNAcentral describes it as "partial 16S ribosomal RNA". It matches the Rfam family "Bacterial small subunit ribosomal RNA", at positions 524 to 776 of the family's 1533-position model. The record is from RNAcentral.